UUUGGUGGAUUCGGGGGCCUCCAUGCUUGGCGCGCGGUAUUGCCUCCUCACCAUCCCCCUCUCUUUCUCCGCCCGUCCUCCCCCAGCCCAGAUUCCAGUCCCCAAAUCGUCUCCUUUCCCCAUCCAUCGAGGAGCUUCUUGGCAAGAUGGGGAGGAAAGAGAAGGGAUUCAUGUGAGGUACUGCAAUUUUCUCCAUGUCCUGCUUUUCUAUUAGGUUGAUUUGUUUGCUCGUUGUAGUUCAGCAUGAUCUGCAUUUGUUCAAUCUGGGCACAAAUUGCAUGUAUUUGUGCAGUGCACCUGGAUAGAGUGGGGCUUUCUAUUGCUGGAGACUGUCAAAUUGUUGCAAGACCCAUGCGAAGCUAACAAUCUUGCCUUUUAUUUGUCGCUGUAAUUGCUUUGCUUUGUUGUUAACUUCGGCCGUUUCACUGGCCUAAUGGGAAUUGUUCAGUUGGGCCUAGGACCCCUGGUUAGUCCUUUUCAAAAAACAUUAACAUUCUCGGUAGCAAUUUGAAGUGCAAGGAAGAAUGUGAAAUGAUAGAUGAGGAUUGCACAUGAUAUUACAUCGUAC
RNAcentral lists this long non-coding RNA (568 nucleotides) under Triticum aestivum (bread wheat). RNAcentral's name for it is "long non-coding RNA (TAES_LNC007414)". Lineage: Eukaryota; Viridiplantae; Streptophyta; Magnoliopsida; Poales; Poaceae. The record is from RNAcentral.